CAUGAUCCCUUGGGGGACCCUCCUUGUUGCCUCCCUCUACCUGCCCCUCUUCAGCCUGGCCUGGUUGCCCUCUGGGUAAUAACGUCCCAGAAAAAGUGUGUGAGGUGACAAGAUGGAGAACUGGGGGCUCUGGCUCUCUGGGGGAAAAUAAAUGUAAAUUGUAAUUAAA
Homo sapiens (human) is the source of this 169-nucleotide long non-coding RNA. Lineage: Eukaryota; Metazoa; Chordata; Mammalia; Primates; Hominidae. The record is from Ensembl.